UUUUGUGUGCCUGUGGCUUUUUCCACUGCAGCACUGUUGAACGUAUUGCCCUCCCUGGAUGAUGUUUGAGAUGCUCACAGCCACAGGUGAGUGCAAGCAGCUCAGAGACUUUCCAUGGGAUUGACCAACACGUUGCUGAGGUGCCUAGGUGUGUCAGGAGGAGCUCAGAGGCUGCGUGCACGGUUCAGAAGGGUCAGCUGGCGUUAUCCCCACUUUGCCUUCUGCCCAGGUAAUCUGCAUAAUGUCAGGAGCUGACCCAAAGCGCCCAGAUAAGUAGCUGUCUGUGCAAUCCUUGCUUUCUUCUUUAGUCUUUUUUCUUUUUUUUUUUUUUGCCAGCUAUUGUUGGAGCUUGUUAACACCUGACAAAUGUAGGUUCUGUGCUACAUUUGUCUAAUGUUUACAUAGCAAAGUCAUGUUGUGAUUUUUUUCUCUGCAGUUGUACUUAGUGCAGAAAAGUGCAUAGUAUAAUUAACCAUUGCAUUAAGGUAAAGCUUAAAUGCUUAUUUCAUACUCAAAUCCAGAAAAGAAUGCUUUCUAUUUAGAGAUGGGCUUGCUUCUUAAUCCUUUUGUGCUCUUACUGGUAAAUAAACUAACUUGCAUCAUCCCAAAACACCAGAGAAGGACAAGGCAGGACUACAGGAAUAGUUUUCUACUGGGGUAUGCCUCACAGCAGCUGAUCAAGUUUGAUUUAAGACAAAGAAAACCAAACCCAAAAUAAACUCAAAAGCAGAACAGCUCCUCGAAUGUCUCUGCUGUGUUUCGCUUGCUGCUGCUGCCCCCUCUCGUGGCAGCAGAAACCAGCAGAGCCUGUGCGUAGUGCCCUGUGUUGGCUGAUGUGAGGGGGCAGCUGCUGGGGCUUGUGAGGAGCUUUCUGAGAGCUUCCCCCUGAAAUCUGCUGCCUACAGAUGGCCUUUAACCUAAGAGUACUCUGCCAUGAGAUUUUGAUCUUCAGCAUCAGCCUCCAGAUGCGGACACGUGAGUUAAAUACCGGGCGACCCUGCCUGCAUGCACCGAGGGAGCAGCUGCUGUGAGGUUACCAAAACCUCACACAGAUCCUACGGUGUGACGUUGAUUGCAGCCCUCUGCACGGAUCUCCUGCUCUGCUCUGCGUGGCUGAACUGGCUCCAUAUCCUGCUGCUUCCGUGGCCUGCUCAUCAGCGCCUAACCGGAGGCAUUCCUCCUGCUGCCAUCCCCAGGGUAUUUUCUCGGUUGGGCUGUAAAUCAGCCGGGUAAUGAUGCGUUCGCCGCAUCCAUUACGAGCGCCGAUCGAAACUCCUUGUGCUCAAGAAAGGGAGCAGUAAACUGAAAGGUGCCAGGGGAAUUUUAUCCGUGCUGUAUUCUUUAUUAAAACGCAGAGAACAAAAUAUCAGGGGGUAAGAGGGAAGCACGGCUCCUCAGGGGAUCUUGCAGUGCUGUCUGUGACAGAUGAAUAUAACUCGCUCCCAUUGACUGCUGUGCACCUGUCCUGGUUCGUGCGAGGUAACAGUCAGACCCGUAAAGUGUAUUUAUUAGACCUCCCCCUGCCCAGUAACAUCAUUAAAUGAGGAAGGGGAGAGCAGAAGUGUCUCAGGAGGAGAGAUAAUUUAAUAGCUUCUGCACUAGGUCUUCUGCACAUUUAAUCAGUGGGUGAUGUUUAUUGCUGCUGGAGUCCUGGGCCCAUCCUGUUCUUCCUGCCCAGCAGGCAAAUUCCUGGGCUAGGCGUGAGCCCCUUCGGGAAGGGGCAGAGUUUUUCUGCGGUCACUGCAGGAUGGCUGGAAUAUUGAUGUCCUCUCUUUGCUUCCUGCCAGCUUGUCUAUAGCUUGACCUGCUCACGAACUGACAUAUGGACCAGGAGAGUCCUGCUGAGUAGCUGCUGCCCCUCUGGUAGCUCAUCCCAUCCAGCUGUGGGCUUGGUGUAGCGCCCUGCCUUGCCAUCAGCAGUCCCAAACCUGGGAUCUCAGAGCUGCUGGAGCUUGUGAAAAAUGCUGUCUGGCUCCAGGAUGUGGUGUGAAGCUUCCCCGGGUGCUUGGCUCUGGCAGUUGGAUGCCCUCUGACAUUGCUAGCAGUUGUUUAGCUGUUCUCAGAAACAGCUCCUCUCUGCUUGCUGAAGCCAUAUCUGAUGUGUUAAGUGUGAUGUUUGCUUUCUUCCUGUUCAACCUCCUCGCUCUAAGCUAGCAGCUUUGGUGUUGCAAGCCUAAAUACAGCUGCCUCCUUUCUCCUCUUGUCCUCUGAAGGGUGUGUGGAGCGCCUCAUGGGGCGGCCUGCAAGGGCCUGGGGUCCUCUCACCCUUCCCUAGUUCAGGGAGCACCACGAGAGGUGGGGACCAGAAACCCUGUGGUUUUCUGUGCUCAUUUUAACCAAAGUUGAGUGAAAAGGUCCUACUGGGUGGGCUCUGUGAGACACACAGCACUACAACAUCAUCUUGUCCAAGUUAAGUAGGGAGGAUUUCAAGCACUGAUUAGCGGCACAAUGCGGAUUCCUCUGGUCAAUAUUAGAUUGAGCAGAUGGUCUGUUUUCACCUCUGGUUUGCCAUGCAGAGUGGAAAUUGUAGCGGGGACAGCUACCUGCAUCCCCAGUGAGCGUCAGGAGUGAUGCUGGGUGUUCCUGCAGCACUUGUGAGCCUGGCUACUGGGAGAGCUGGGCGCUUACACCCCCUAGGGCAUCGGCGCUGGCUGGCAGGUCUGCUCGACCCAUCCAUGGGGUUUCUUUCUGAAAAGGGAGGAUAUACCAAUUUGUUUUGAGAUGCUGGGGGCUCUGCAACACCACUUUGCACUGACUUACUGAGUUUUCUCCCCCUCGUUCAGAGCUCAAAGGACAAGCCCUCAGGGCUGCUCCCCAUGCCUGUGUCCCCUGGGUGUCUCUGCCAGUCUGUGUCCAAGUGCCAUGGAGCACUGUGUCCAGUCAGCGGCCCGGCUCCCCUGGCCUGCUUUUGGGGCCUGAGCACCUCUGACGUUGGUGUCUUGUGAUGCAGUGACACUCGCUCCUCCUGAAGGGCUGGCGCCCUUGCCCUGUGUCCCCCUGCUGUGCUGGCUGCGUUUCCUCACGGCUGUGGGAGGCCUGGCAGUGAGCAACCCGAGCCCAGCUCCCACAGAAAGCAGCUGCCAGCGCAUCAGCCCUGUCAGCUGCUAGGGCCUGUCUCCAGAAAUGUCCACGUUCAAAGCCCCGAGCCGGCAUGAGGAAAGAUCCUGCGUGUUACCAGAGCCGUGCUGGGUAACGCCAGCGGCCUCGCCCCAGAGCAUGCUGUGUGCUUCAGGCAAAGCUCUGCCCUCGCUGCUUGGAGCCAAAUGCCCAGCCGGCCUCCGGGGGUGUGCGAGCAGAGCUCAUCCCUCUGAGAAAGGCCCUCCUGGUCAUCUCUGAGGGGAUCAGUGUCUCUCAGUGCCACUUCUGGGCUGUGUGGCCUUGCGGGCUGGGCCGUGGGAUCCACACCAGGGCCUGGGAUCUGGAGGGCACCGAGGUUUUCGCUGCCCUCUCCCCCUGUGCUUGGUGUUAGCGCUGUGGCACAUAAUUUACUCCCUGACUCAGUCCCGCAGUUGCAGUCCCGGCUCAGAAAUGCGAUGACGGCUGUGGCAUCGGCGUGUCCUUGCCUUUUGUUUGCCACAAUACAGCUCUACUCGGGCAGAGCAGAAAGGGAAAGAAAUAACAAUGAUAGACGGAUGGAGGGGAAGAUCUGACGUGCCUUUCCAGCCCGUGUGCUGUGUAUUUCAUCUCGGGUGGGGACUCUCAUUAAGUAGUCACUCGGCAGAAGCAACCUGUACCUAAAGGUUAAUUUCCACAGCAGUUGUUGCUGGGUUGUUUGAUGGUGGGUAAUUUCCAGCCUCAAAAGAGUCUUUUACUCCUACCUAGUAUUUAAUGAGAUUAAAUUGCAACUCCUCCAAGGCCUCGUGGCGGAAGUGUGUAUGUGUGGCAGGUGGCCACGAAAGCUUUGUGUGGGCUUAAUAGAAAGGCGCUCGGGGAGCAGAGAGAAAAAAACCCUUUCAUAAUGAAGGGGAAAAAUAGUGGCGAUGUUUGAAAGCUUCAUAGGUGUUAAUAAAAGAUACUGCUUUUUCAGUCACACGGAUUGAUAAAUACAAUGGGCUUCCGUAGGAAUCUGUCUGUAGGACAAAAAUUACUCUAACGUGACUUUGAUGCACGCAGGACGCUCCUUGGAAGGCCUGGGGCGAGGUGACCCUUCAGGCGAGGUGACUGGGAUGAGUUUUGCAGUUGUUAGGGUAGCGCUGGGCCUGAUCCUGACCUUGUGGUGUACUUAAAAUUUGCUUUGUUUGGUGAAGGUAGUCCUGCAAAGAUCCAGCAAGAAGCCGAAGACACAAGGGAGGUUUUGUUCCCUGUUGGUGCAGUUAAGUUAUUCUUUUUAUUUUUGUCUUUGGACAGAGGUGAUCUCCUUGCCUUUGACUUCAGAUUCAGUGGAGCCCAUUCAGUGGCUCUUGUUUCACUCCUUUAAAGAGCUUUUGGGGCACAAGGGGGGGGGGAGUGCUGGAGAUCUCCAUACCAGGCAGCUCCAGCGGGGACCGACGCUAGUCCUCCAUCCUUCAGGCUGUCCCAAUGGCAUCUCAGUGGUGCUGCCGAAUUACCCUGCGGCUGUAUUUCAUUGUCAGACCCAGCGUGGGUUGGUGGGGUCUCAGCUGAGGGAGGGAAAGGCACCUGCUGUCCCUGGGGACUGGGAGGCCUUGGGGUGAGCGUCAGCUGUCUGGGAUUAGCAGCGGGGAGCCACACGCAGCGUAGGCUCUGACGCACGGCCACAUGCCUGAGGGAAUCUCGCUCCUCUUCCCCUCGCCAGCAUCCCGAGGAAACCACCUGGACCGGCGCGUAGCUCCCGCCUGAGAUCACACAUCGCUGUUACAGGGCUUGGCCCCUGGCCACUUCACGUGGUGCCAGUGAAAUGGCCAGCCAGCAAUCCAGGGACAAAUCUUGCUUUUCAGAAAUGUUUGCUCCUGGCCAUUUAUCUGUGCUUAUUUGGAGAAAAUAAUUAUCAAGCUGGGAGCUUUCCUCUCCAUCAUCUCAGCAAUAUGUCAUGAGUGCAAAAGCCGGUCUUGUACACAGAGUUGCCAGACUGAAGGCCAGCCUUUAGAUUCCAAGCCAGAAAUGCAACCCCAGAAAGGAUUCUGAGCUCUUUGUGCUGCUUAAAGGCUGCAGGGAUGUGUGAAAAUGAGGAUAAGUAAACAGCCUGAGUCAUACCGAGCUCCGACAUAAAAGGGAGGGAUGUUCCCUUUGGGGAACAGAGGAGUUUGGUAUUGGUGUCACAUAAAGGAGUUCCCAAGGAUCUGGGAGGAUGGUCUCUGAUGCAGCACGCUGAAAUGAAUGCUAUUACUGUUGUUGUUUUGUUUUCUCUUCCCCCCAAGCAUGGCUGAGUCAGGCCCUUUCCGGCCUGAACAGUUGCAUCCUAUUCUCUGAGUGCUGAAAGGGGCUUUGGGCAGCAUCAAUUAUUUCUGGGGCACAGUGAGUGUAAAUUUGUGCUUAUAAGCAGGCAGGGGGCCCUGUGGUUACCGCUGCUGGGUCUCUCCCAGCUGUAGCUCUGUGUGCUCGCUUCUCAACCCCGUUGGUGCCUUGACUCGGCGCA
Molecule: non-coding RNA, 5533 nt
Organism: Anas platyrhynchos (mallard)
Lineage: Eukaryota; Metazoa; Chordata; Aves; Anseriformes; Anatidae
Source: RefSeq, a predicted model, not a curated record